RNAcentral lists this transfer RNA (86 nucleotides) under Psychromarinibacter halotolerans. Its description in RNAcentral is "tRNA-Leu". It matches the Rfam family "tRNA". Rfam says of the family: Transfer RNA (tRNA) molecules are approximately 80 nucleotides in length. Their secondary structure includes four short double-helical elements and three loops (D, anti-codon, and T loops). Lineage: Bacteria; Pseudomonadati; Pseudomonadota; Alphaproteobacteria; Rhodobacterales; Paracoccaceae. RNAcentral also lists the same sequence under 1 other name. The record is from RNAcentral.
GCCCGAGUGGCGGAAUGGUAGACGCAGCGGAUUCAAAAUCCGCCGGUAGCAAUACCGUGGGGGUUCGAGUCCCCCCUCGGGCACCA